Molecule: transfer RNA, 84 nt
Filed under: Myxococcales bacterium
Lineage: Bacteria; Pseudomonadati; Myxococcota; Myxococcia; Myxococcales
Also listed under: 2 other names
Description: tRNA-Leu
Rfam family: tRNA
About the family: Transfer RNA (tRNA) molecules are approximately 80 nucleotides in length. Their secondary structure includes four short double-helical elements and three loops (D, anti-codon, and T loops).
Source: RNAcentral
GGCCGAGUGGCGGAAUGGCAGACGCGGCGGAUUCAAAAUCCGCUUUCUUCGGAAGUACCGGUUCAAGUCCGGUCUCGGCUACCA